RNAcentral lists this transfer RNA (73 nucleotides) under Penicillium chrysogenum KF-25. Its description in RNAcentral is "tRNA-Cys (GCA) (tRNA-Cys-GCA-2-1)". It matches the Rfam family "tRNA". From Rfam's summary of the family: Transfer RNA (tRNA) molecules are approximately 80 nucleotides in length. Their secondary structure includes four short double-helical elements and three loops (D, anti-codon, and T loops). Lineage: Eukaryota; Fungi; Ascomycota; Eurotiomycetes; Eurotiales; Aspergillaceae. The record is from RNAcentral.
GCACCGGUAGCUCAUUUGGUAGAGCGUGCGAUUGCAAAUCGCGAGGUAGCGCGUUCAAUCCGCGCCCGGGGCU